RNAcentral lists this ribosomal RNA (429 nucleotides) under Gemmatimonadota bacterium. RNAcentral's name for it is "Gemmatimonadetes bacterium partial 16S ribosomal RNA". It matches the Rfam family "Bacterial small subunit ribosomal RNA", at positions 355 to 776 of the family's 1533-position model. The record is from RNAcentral. Lineage: Bacteria; Pseudomonadati; Gemmatimonadota.
UAGGGAAUCUUCGGCAAUGGACGAAAGUCUGACCGAGCAACGCCGCGUGAGUGAAGAAGGUUUUCGGAUCGUAAAACUCUGUUGUUAGAGAAGAACAAGGACGUUAGUAACUGAACGUCCCCUGACGGUAUCUAACCAGAAAGCCACGGCUAACUACGUGCCAGCAGCCGCGGUAAUACGUAGGUGGCAAGCGUUGUCCGGAUUUAUUGGGCGUAAAGCGAGCGCAGGCGGUUUCUUAAGUCUGAUGUGAAAGCCCCCGGCUCAACCGGGGAGGGUCAUUGGAAACUGGGAGACUUGAGGGCAGAAGAGGAGGGUGGAAUUCCAUGUGUAGCGGUGGAAUGCGUAGAUGUAUGGAGGAACACCAGUGGCGAAGGCGGCUCUAUGGUCUGUAACUGACGCUGAGGCUCGAAAGCGUGGGGAGCAAACAGG